GGAUGUGAGGGCGAUCUGGCUGCGACAUCCGUCACCCCAUUGAUCGCCAGGGUUGAUUCGGCUGAUCUGGCUGGCUAGGCGGGUGUCCCCUUCCUCCCUCACCGCUCCAUGUGCGUCCCUCCCGAAGCUGCGCGCUCGGUCGAAGAGGACGACCAUCCCCGAUAGGGGAGGACCGUUCUUCGGUCAAGGGAACACGAGUAGCUGCGCUCCCCUGCUAGAACCUCCAAACAAGCUCUCAAAGAACUCCCGGGAAGUCUUCACUUAGGAACGAGGGAAGGGACACCUUGGCUUGCUCAACUAACUAUAGAGAAAGCCUAGCCCUCCUUC
Molecule: small nuclear RNA, 327 nt
Filed under: Castor canadensis (American beaver)
Lineage: Eukaryota; Metazoa; Chordata; Mammalia; Rodentia; Castoridae
Description: 7SK RNA (ENSCCNG00000003521.1)
Rfam family: 7SK RNA
About the family: 7SK was discovered as an abundant small nuclear RNA in the mid-70s but a possible function has only recently been suggested. Two independent studies have found that 7SK RNA binds the CDK9/cyclin T complex (known as elongation factor P-TEFb). P-TEFb activates transcription by phosphorylating the C-terminal domain of RNA polymerase II.
Source: RNAcentral